This is a non-coding RNA of Pelobates cultripes (western spadefoot toad), 107 nucleotides long. Lineage: Eukaryota; Metazoa; Chordata; Amphibia; Anura; Pelobatidae. The record is from the annotation of a GenBank genome assembly.
GGCCCCCACCCCUGGGCGGCGGGUGGGGGCCAUAGUGAGAAUGAGGGGGGAGGUCCCCCCCCCUCAUUAUCUUCAUGGCCCCCACCCGCUGCCCAGGGGUGGGGGCC